RNAcentral lists this ribosomal RNA (1540 nucleotides) under Klebsiella pneumoniae. Its description in RNAcentral is "bacterial SSU rRNA". It matches the Rfam family "Bacterial small subunit ribosomal RNA". Lineage: Bacteria; Pseudomonadati; Pseudomonadota; Gammaproteobacteria; Enterobacterales; Enterobacteriaceae. The record is from RNAcentral.
AAAUUGAAGAGUUUGAUCAUGGCUCAGAUUGAACGCUGGCGGCAGGCCUAACACAUGCAAGUCGAGCGGUAGCACAGAGAGCUUGCUCUCGGGUGACGAGCGGCGGACGGGUGAGUAAUGUCUGGGAAACUGCCUGAUGGAGGGGGAUAACUACUGGAAACGGUAGCUAAUACCGCAUAAUGUCGCAAGACCAAAGUGGGGGACCUUCGGGCCUCAUGCCAUCAGAUGUGCCCAGAUGGGAUUAGCUAGUAGGUGGGGUAACGGCUCACCUAGGCGACGAUCCCUAGCUGGUCUGAGAGGAUGACCAGCCACACUGGAACUGAGACACGGUCCAGACUCCUACGGGAGGCAGCAGUGGGGAAUAUUGCACAAUGGGCGCAAGCCUGAUGCAGCCAUGCCGCGUGUGUGAAGAAGGCCUUCGGGUUGUAAAGCACUUUCAGCGGGGAGGAAGGCGAUAAGGUUAAUAACCUUGUCGAUUGACGUUACCCGCAGAAGAAGCACCGGCUAACUCCGUGCCAGCAGCCGCGGUAAUACGGAGGGUGCAAGCGUUAAUCGGAAUUACUGGGCGUAAAGCGCACGCAGGCGGUCUGUCAAGUCGGAUGUGAAAUCCCCGGGCUUAACCUGGGAACUGCAUUCGAAACUGGCAGGCUAGAGUCUUGUAGAGGGGGGUAGAAUUCCAGGUGUAGCGGUGAAAUGCGUAGAGAUCUGGAGGAAUACCGGUGGCGAAGGCGGCCCCCUGGACAAAGACUGACGCUCAGGUGCGAAAGCGUGGGGAGCAAACAGGAUUAGAUACCCUGGUAGUCCACGCCGUAAACGAUGUCGAUUUGGAGGUUGUGCCCUUGAGGCGUGGCUUCCGGAGCUAACGCGUUAAAUCGACCGCCUGGGGAGUACGGCCGCAAGGUUAAAACUCAAAUGAAUUGACGGGGGCCCGCACAAGCGGUGGAGCAUGUGGUUUAAUUCGAUGCAACGCGAAGAACCUUACCUGGUCUUGACAUCCACAGAACUUUCCAGAGAUGGAUUGGUGCCUUCGGGAACUGUGAGACAGGUGCUGCAUGGCUGUCGUCAGCUCGUGUUGUGAAAUGUUGGGUUAAGUCCCGCAACGAGCGCAACCCUUAUCCUUUGUUGCCAGCGGUUCGGCCGGGAACUCAAAGGAGACUGCCAGUGAUAAACUGGAGGAAGGUGGGGAUGACGUCAAGUCAUCAUGGCCCUUACGACCAGGGCUACACACGUGCUACAAUGGCAUAUACAAAGAGAAGCGACCUCGCGAGAGCAAGCGGACCUCAUAAAGUAUGUCGUAGUCCGGAUUGGAGUCUGCAACUCGACUCCAUGAAGUCGGAAUCGCUAGUAAUCGUAGAUCAGAAUGCUACGGUGAAUACGUUCCCGGGCCUUGUACACACCGCCCGUCACACCAUGGGAGUGGGUUGCAAAAGAAGUAGGUAGCUUAACCUUCGGGAGGGCGCUUACCACUUUGUGAUUCAUGACUGGGGUGAAGUCGUAACAAGGUAACCGUAGGGGAACCUGCGGUUGGAUCACCUCCUUA